Molecule: ribosomal RNA, 576 nt
Filed under: Triticum aestivum (bread wheat)
Lineage: Eukaryota; Viridiplantae; Streptophyta; Magnoliopsida; Poales; Poaceae
Description: partial small subunit ribosomal RNA
Source: RNAcentral
UCUUCUACCUCUGAUGGCUUUUUUAUAUCCCAGGAAAAGUAUAUCCAGGAUCUUCUUGCUCGUGCUGCUCUUACUGACGAGCGCAUUGUUGAGACUCCUAUGGAGCUCAAUGUUCACCUCCGUGCUACUGAUGGUGAUCCUCUCCCUGACCCGACGCGUUAUCGUCAUCUCGUUGGCAGUCUUGUCUAUCUAGCUGUCACUCGUCCGGACAUCUCUUAUCCGGUUCAUAUUCUGAGUCAGUUUGUCUCUGCUCCCACAUCGGUUCACUAUAGUCAUCUCCUUCGUGUUCUCCGAUAUCUUCGGGGCACGAUCUCUCACCGUCUAUUCUUUCCUAGCUCCAGUUCUUUACAGCUUCAGGCCUAUUCGGAUGCUAUGUGGGCUAGUGAUCCUUCUGAUCGCCGUUCACUUUCUGCUUACUGUGUUUUUCUUGGUGGUUCUCUCAUUGCCUGGAAGACGAAGAAACAGAUUGCAGUUUCCCGUUCGAGUGCUGAGGCUGAGUUGCGAGCCAUGGCUCUUUUGACGGCAGAGGUGACUUGGUUACGGUGGUUACUUCAGGAUUUUGGUGUUUCUGUCACU